CUUGACGACCAUAGAGCAUUGGAACCACCUGAUCCCAUCCCGAACUCAGAAGUGAAACGAUGCAUCGCCGA
Molecule: ribosomal RNA, 71 nt
Filed under: Pseudomonas sp. FW306-2-2C-A10BC
Lineage: Bacteria; Pseudomonadati; Pseudomonadota; Gammaproteobacteria; Pseudomonadales; Pseudomonadaceae
Also listed under: 6 other names
Source: RNAcentral